UGGGGUGGGGUGACUGCGUACCUUUUGUAUAAUGGGUCAGCGACUUAUAUUCUGUAGCAAGGUUAACCGUAUAGGGGAGCCGUAGGGAAACCGAGUCUUAACUGGGCGAAUAAGUUGCAGGGUAUAGACCCGAAACCCGGUGAUCUAGCCAUGGGCAGGUUGAAGGUUGGGUAACACUAACUGGAGGACCGAACCGACUAAUGUUGAAAAAUUAGCGGAUGAC
Molecule: ribosomal RNA, 223 nt
Filed under: Providencia rettgeri
Lineage: Bacteria; Pseudomonadati; Pseudomonadota; Gammaproteobacteria; Enterobacterales; Morganellaceae
Description: partial 23S ribosomal RNA
Rfam family: Bacterial large subunit ribosomal RNA
Source: RNAcentral